Molecule: long non-coding RNA, 239 nt
Filed under: Elaeis guineensis (African oil palm)
Lineage: Eukaryota; Viridiplantae; Streptophyta; Magnoliopsida; Arecales; Arecaceae
Description: long non-coding RNA (EGUI_LNC052671)
Source: RNAcentral
GUAUCUCUCCGGACUUCUCCAACAGCCGGAUUCCCACGGUGCUGACUGAAUUCUCCCGACGGACGAACUCCCACUGCACCACCCGAGCUCCUUCAACAUGAGUUCCCCCAGUCAUCUAUUAAGCCACCCCAAGUGCCCACUGAGCUCCGCCGCCAGCCGACUUUCUACGACGAUCAGCCGUUCCCCGAAUCCCUUCCAGACUCCUUCCAACCAGGUUCAACUCCAAUCCGAACUACACC